GGUUGCACCAGAAGUAGAUAGCUUAACCUUCGGGAGGGCGUUUACCACGGUGUGAUUCAUGACUGGGGUGAAGUCGUAACAAGGUAACCCUAGGGGAACCUGGGGUUGGAUCACCUCCUUA
Molecule: ribosomal RNA, 121 nt
Filed under: Aeromonas hydrophila
Lineage: Bacteria; Pseudomonadati; Pseudomonadota; Gammaproteobacteria; Aeromonadales; Aeromonadaceae
Also listed under: 8 other names
Description: partial 16S ribosomal RNA
Rfam family: Bacterial small subunit ribosomal RNA
Source: RNAcentral